AGAGUUUGAUCCUGGCUCAGGAUGAACGCUGGCGGCGUGCCUAACACAUGCAAGUCGAACGGAGUUCUUAAGGAAUGCGACUUCGGUCAAAUGACUUUUGAACUUAGUGGCGGACGGGUGAGUAACGCGUGAGCAACCUGCCUUUCAGAGGGGGAUAACAUUUGGAAACAGAUGCUAAUACCGCAUAAGAUUACAGUACCGCAUGAUACAGUGAUCAAAGGAGCAAUCCGCUGAAAGAUGGGCUCGCGUCCGAUUAGAUAGUUGGUGAGGUAACGGCUCACCAAGUCGACGAUCGGUAGCCGGACUGAGAGGUUGAACGGCCACAUUGGGACUGAGACACGGCCCAGACUCCUACGGGAGGCAGCAGUGGGGAAUAUUGCACAAUGGGCGAAAGCCUGAUGCAGCAACGCCGCGUGAGGGAAGACGGUUUUCGGAUUGUAAACCUCUGUUUUCGGUGACGAACAAAUGACGGUAACCGAGUAGGAAGCCACGGCUAACUACGUGCCAGCAGCCGCGGUAAUACGUAGGUGGCAAGCGUUAUCCGGAAUUACUGGGUGUAAAGGGAGCGCAGGCGGGAUAGCAAGUCAGCUGUGAAAACUAUGGGCUCAACCCAUAAACUGCAGUUGAAACUGUUAUUCUUGAGUGGAGUAGAGGCAAGCGGAAUUCCGAGUGUAGCGGUGAAAUGCGUAGAUAUUCGGAGGAACACCAGUGGCGAAGGCGGCUUGCUGGGCUCUAACUGACGCUGAGGCUCGAAAGUGUGGGGAGCAAACAGGAUUAGAUACCCUGGUAGUCCACACUGUAAACGAUGAUUG
RNAcentral lists this ribosomal RNA (812 nucleotides) under uncultured bacterium. RNAcentral describes it as "bacterial SSU rRNA". It matches the Rfam family "Bacterial small subunit ribosomal RNA", at positions 8 to 815 of the family's 1533-position model. The record is from RNAcentral.